Molecule: ribosomal RNA, 380 nt
Filed under: uncultured eukaryote
Lineage: Eukaryota
Description: partial 18S ribosomal RNA
Rfam family: Eukaryotic small subunit ribosomal RNA
Source: RNAcentral
CAAUAGCGUAUAUUAAAGUUGUUGCGGUUAAAAAGCUCGUAGUUGGAGUUCUGCCAGGUGCCGCCUGUCCGCCCCAGUGGUGAGUACGUGGCGCGCAUUUGGCCCUUUCAAGGGGAGCGUAUCUGCACUUUAUUGUGUGGUGCGGGAUCCUUGACUUUUACUUUGAGGAAAUAGGAGUGUUCCAAGCAGGCUCUCGUCGUGCACAGCUCAGCAUGGAAUAAUAGCAUUGGACCUCGAUUCUAAGCUGUUGGUUGCCAGAAGCGAGGUAAUGAUGAAGAGGGACAGUCGGGGGCAUUCGUAUUUCAUUGUCAGAGGUGAAAUUCUUGGAUUUAUGAAAGACGAACUACUGCGAAAGCAUUUGCCAAGGAUGUUUUCAUUAA